CUGGGGUCCCCCUCCGCACCGUGGGGGAAGAUGGGGAUUUCCUGGAGGGAUACGCUUUUUGUCACUGUGAAGGCUGUGUGUAGGAAGCAAAGAAAUACAAUCCAACCUGCCAAAGGCAGCUAAGAGUUUAGAUGAUUGGCUAAUCAGUGCCACCCCGGACAAGGAGCUUCUGGCCUGAAUCUGUUUCUUCACCUGCAAAAUGGAAAUAAGGUUUGCUUCCUACUGAAGCCUUCAUUUCUUUACUCUGAUCAACCCAGAAGGCAAUCAGAACUUGAAAUAUUUUUACCACGAUUUAAUUACUCAUCUCCAGUCCCUCAAGCAUCAAGCAGGAUGACCAACUCGGUGAACUUGAUAUUCGGCAUUGUUGGGAGCAGCUAUCCAUAGCCCUCAGAAUACAAGUCAGGGCCACCAGGGGCGGCUGAGAUUAGACAGAAGCCAUGAAGGAGGAAGCGGUGAAGAGGUAUGAGGCCCAAGCAGCAGCGGAGUCCAGAAAGCAUCAACAAGCAUAAACUUCCUAAGGUAACAAUAUCUCCCGAAGAUCACCCCUUAGCAAUAAACACAGAUCUCGCUCCCUCCGUUUUCUAGCUGCGGAGGAGUUCAUCGCGUGGAUGCACCGUGGUUGAUCAACCUGUCACUUAUUGAUGGAUCUUUGGUUUGUUUUCAGUUUUUGCUGUUACAAAUAGAGCAACAGUUAAUAUUCUUGCAGACAUAUUUUUGUGUCUUUGCAAGCAUGUCUUUGGGCUCCCUCUUCUCUAUUAUCGCCAAGUGUUAAAAAGUACCUCCUCACACUUUCUGCUGGCUCUGCUUCUCCGCUUCACCGGACCUCCUGCCUCCUCUGCGCGUCGUGUUCCUGUUUUGUUCCGUUUGGAUAAUAUCCCAGCAGUUCUUUUUAACGCGGGGCUUCAUCUUGGAAGAGAUCUUGGGUAGACGAGUUUGGGAGUUCACGGGGUUGUCUCAGCACCGGCCAACCUCACGAGCCGCACGUAGCUGCACUUACCCACAAACUGGAGCCUCAGGGACCCUCCCAGUUUGGGUGCUGUCCUCGGGGUGGCCUGCUGACCCUCCUGAGAGUAUCCGUUGGCGAGUGUAGGGUCUCCAGCUUGCAGGGCCCUCAGCAGUCCCCCGCCUUUGCCCUGAUUUCCCCUGCACCGAAACUGAUACCAUGCAGGUCUUGCUGCUCUCAGUAAUUUGUCCCAUCUGCUUGCAUUUUGGCGUCCAUAGGAGCACCUGGCAUCGAGCUUUGCUGCUGAUGUCAUCAGUCAGUUCUUUGGCUUUUCUCACAACUUCACUGUUAAUUAGAAAAAAUGCAGAUUAAAGCUCAACCAAGAAUAUAUAGAAAGUCUUUGUAUAUUCUUACACAUUUUGUCAGUUUUAAAUUGUAUCAAAAUUAAAAGUUACCCCCCAAAAAAUUGAACUGAAAUCCAUUUUUGACUUAAUACCUUGGCCAAAAUCCAAAAGUUUGGUAAUACAUACUCUUGACAAGGCUGUGGGAAAAUAGUCCCUCUCAUACGUUGCCAGUGGGAGUGCAAACUGGUGCAACCCCUGUGGAAGGCACAUUGACAAAAUUCAUCAAAUUUCAAAUGUAUUCACACCUUUUGGCCCAGUAAUCGAGCUUCCAGGAAUUUAUAGUACAAACGCAUUUGCACAUGUGUGAAAUGAUGUAUGAACAAUGUUAUUCAUCAUAGUGGUGUUAGUAACAGCAAAAGUUUGGAGAUUGUCCAAAGUGAUUUAGAUUGUGAUCACUAGAGACUGGUUUAAUAAACAAUGCUCUGUCCUUUUAAUGGAAAGAAUGAAGAAGAUUUCUGUAUAAAUAGGAACAGUAAGAUCUCUAAGAUAUUAGAAAAAAGGUACGGAGCAAUGUAUACAUAUCAUUUUAUAAACAAAAAAAUGAGGAGGAAUAAAACAUAUUCAUGUUUAUGUAUAUUUGCAUAAAUAUAUUCUGGAAGAAACUAUACAAAACUAAUAAGUAAUAACCUGGGACGGGUGGAGCAUAGGGUACUGGGUGCCUCGGGAGCAAGCAUGGGAGGAAGACUUUUCAUUGAGCGCUUUUUGUAGUGUUUUGAUUGUUGAGCCAUGUGAAUGUAUUACCUAAUCAAAAAUGUAAAAAGUUGGGAAGCUUAUUUUUUCAGUGUAUUAGUUUGCACCUGAUUCUAGACUUUCUUUUGGAAGAGCAAGCAACUGGAUGUGAUCUGGCUGCUUCUAAGUCCAUCAAGAAGCAGAUGUAAUGUCAUAAAAGCUCGACGUUACAAAACUUGCCUCACACAAGCGGAAUCAGAUUCCUCCAAGCUGUGACAGUCAGGCCCUGGGGAGCCUCUGACCUCGGGGAGACGCACCAUCUAGAGAAGCUGGGCCACGGCCACCCACACGCACAUCAUCUGCUGCCAGGUCCUCAUGGUGUUGAAUCCACCUGUUGGAGUGGAAGGGACAGGAAUGGACAGGAGACUGAGGGAACCAGAGUCCCGCCAGACCCAAGCAUGUCUCUGGUGGACCAGAAGAGGGGAAACUCAUUCUGGGAGUAGCUUUCUGAUAGGGUUGUGCCUUUCCCUUCGUCAUCCUUCUCCCGUGUACAUCUCACUGUGACAGGAUGUAGACAUGCACCGGUCCUGCUGUGCAGCUCCACUGUCCUGCCUCUGUGGCGUCAUCUGCCUCUCUUCUCUGCCAGCUCCUGUGAAGUGCCCGAUUUGGUCUGACGGUUCCGGUCAUUACAACAUCAUGGGAUUAUAACAACACCUUUUUUCUCAAAACAGUUUCAAGCAUAAUUUUUUUAAUCAGGAAAUAUAUUUACACCUGGCUCAAAAAUAAAACAAGUUUUCUUCAGCCUGUCCUCAGAGGAUAAGAUUUCAAGUCUCC
This 2850-nucleotide long non-coding RNA is filed under the name Equus asinus (donkey). RNAcentral describes it as "lncRNA (ENSEASG00005027146.1)". The record is from RNAcentral. Lineage: Eukaryota; Metazoa; Chordata; Mammalia; Perissodactyla; Equidae.